RNAcentral lists this ribosomal RNA (433 nucleotides) under uncultured bacterium. RNAcentral describes it as "partial 16S ribosomal RNA". It matches the Rfam family "Bacterial small subunit ribosomal RNA", at positions 29 to 507 of the family's 1533-position model. The record is from RNAcentral.
AACGAACGCUGGCGGCAUGCCUAACACAUGCAAGUCGAACGAGACCUUCGGGUCUAGUGGCGCACGGGUGCGUAACGCGUGGGAACCUGCCCUUAGGUUCGGAAUAACUCCCCGAAAGGGGUGCUAAUACCGGAUAAUGUCUUCGGACCAAAGAUUUAUCGCCUUUGGAUGGGCCCGCGUUGGAUUAGCUAGUUGGUAGGGUAAAAGCCUACCAAGGCGACGAUCCAUAGCUGGUCUGAGAGGAUGAUCAGCCACACUGGAACUGAGACACGGCCCAGACUCCUACGGGAGGCAGCAGUGGGGAAUAUUGGACAAUGGGCGAAAGCCUGAUCCAGCAAUGCCGCGUGAGUGAUGAAGGCCUUAGGGUUGUAAAGCUCUUUUACCCGGGAUGAUAAUGACAGUACCGGGAGAAUAAGCUCUGGCUAACUCCGUG